GCUGCAGCUAAUGCAUUAUACACUCCGCCUGGGGAGUACGACCGCAAGGUGGANNUCAAAGGAAUUGACGGGGACCCGCACAAGCGGUGGAGCAUGUGGUUUAAUUUUAAGCAACGCGCAGAACCUUACCAAGUCUUGAGAUACUGUGAGGACACUCUAGAUUGUGUUGUUCUCACCUUUGGUUAAACACACAUGCGGGUGGUGCAUGGUUGUCGCCCGCUCGUGUCGAGAGAUGUUGGGUUAACUCCCCCAACGAGCCCAACCCUUAUAUCUGGUUGCCAUCAGUAGGAUGGUGACUCUAGAUUGACUGCCACUGAUAAACUGGAGGAGGGUGGGGAUGACAUCCAAUCAUCCUGCCCCUUAUGACUUGAGCUACACACUUGCUACAAUGGAAAGGAACAAAGAGAACCGAGCUCGCGAGAGUCAUCCAACCUCAUAAAACUAUUCUCAGUUCGGAUUGUAGUCUGCAACUCCACUACAUGAAGCUGGAAUCGCU
Molecule: ribosomal RNA, 496 nt
Filed under: Streptococcus mitis
Lineage: Bacteria; Bacillati; Bacillota; Bacilli; Lactobacillales; Streptococcaceae
Description: bacterial SSU rRNA
Rfam family: Bacterial small subunit ribosomal RNA
Source: RNAcentral